This 468-nucleotide ribosomal RNA is filed under the name uncultured bacterium. RNAcentral describes it as "partial 16S ribosomal RNA". It matches the Rfam family "Bacterial small subunit ribosomal RNA", at positions 28 to 507 of the family's 1533-position model. The record is from RNAcentral.
GACGAACGCUGGCGGCGUGCUUAACACAUGCAAGUCGAACGGAAAGGCCCUGCUUUUGUGGGGUGCUCGAGUGGCGAACGGGUGAGUAACACGUGAGUAACCUGCCCUUGACUUUGGGAUAACUUCAGGAAACUGGGGCUAAUACCCGAUAGGAGCUCCUGCUGCACGGGGGUGGUUGGAAAGUUUCGGCGGUUUGGGAUGGACUCGCGGCUUACCAGCUUGUUGGGGGGGUAGGGGCUUACAACGCGUUUGACGGGUAGCCGGCCUGGGAGGGUGACCGGCCACCUUGGGCCUGCGGUACGGCCCAGUCUGCUACGGGAGGCAGCAGUGGGGAAUCUUGCACAGUGGGCGGAAGCCUGAUGCAGCAGCGCCGCGUGCGGGAUGACGUCCUUCGGGUUGUGAACCGCUUUCGCCUGUGACGAAGCGUUAGUGACGGUAAUGGGUAAAGAAGCACCGGCUAACUACGUG